RNAcentral lists this ribosomal RNA (468 nucleotides) under uncultured bacterium. RNAcentral's name for it is "partial 16S ribosomal RNA". It matches the Rfam family "Bacterial small subunit ribosomal RNA", at positions 28 to 507 of the family's 1533-position model. The record is from RNAcentral.
GACGAACGCUGGCGGCGUGCUUAACACAUGCAAGUCGAACGGAAAGGCCCUGCUUUUGUGGGGUGCUCGAGUGGCGAACGGGUGAGUAACACGUGAGUAACCUGCCCUUGACUUUGGGAUAACUUCAGGAAACUGGGGCUAAUACCGGAUAGGAGCUCCUGCUGCAUGGUGGGGGUUGGAAAGUUUCGGCGGUUGGGGAUGGACUCGCGGCUUAUCCGCUUGUUGGUGGGGUAGUGGCUUACCAAGGUUUUGACGGGUAGCCGGCCUGAGAGGGUGACCGGCCACAUUGGGACUGAGAUACGGCCCAGACUCCUACGGGAGGCAGCAGUGGGGAAUAUUGCACAAUGAGCGGAAGCCUGAUGCAGCAACGCCGCGUGCGGGAUGACGGCCUUCGGGUUGUAAACCGCUUUCGCCUGUGACGAAGCGUGAGUGACGGUAAUGGGUAAAGAAGCACCGGCUAACUACGUG